GACGAACGCUGGCGGCGUGCUUAACACAUGCAAGUCGAACGGAAAGGCCCUGCUUUUGUGGUGUGCUCGAGUGGCGAACGGGUGAGUAACACGUGAGUAACCUGCCCUUGACUUUGGGAUAACUUCAGGAAACUGGGGCUAAUACCGGAUAGGAGCUCCUGCUGCAUGGUGGGGGUUGGAAAGUUUCGGCGGUUGGGGAUGGACUCGCGGCUUAUCAGCUUGUUGGUGGGGUAGUGGCUUACCAAGGCUUUGACGGGUAGCCGGCCUGGGAGGGUGACCGGCCACAAUGGGACUGAGAUACGGCCCAGACUCCUACGGGAGGCAGCAGUGGGGAAUAUUGCACAAUGGGCGGAAGCCUGAUGCAGCAACGCCGCGUGCGGGAUGACGGCCUUCGGGUUGUAAACCGCUUUCGCCUGUGACGAAGCGUGAGUGACGGUAAUGGGUAAAGAAGCACCGGCUAACUACGUG
This 468-nucleotide ribosomal RNA is filed under the name uncultured bacterium. RNAcentral describes it as "partial 16S ribosomal RNA". It matches the Rfam family "Bacterial small subunit ribosomal RNA", at positions 28 to 507 of the family's 1533-position model. The record is from RNAcentral.